This 417-nucleotide ribosomal RNA is filed under the name uncultured bacterium. RNAcentral describes it as "bacterial SSU rRNA". It matches the Rfam family "Bacterial small subunit ribosomal RNA", at positions 507 to 914 of the family's 1533-position model. The record is from RNAcentral.
GCCAGGCAGGCCGCGGUNAUACAGAGGGGUGCCAAGCGUUAUUNGGAAUUACUGGGNGUAAAAGCGCGCGUAGGCGGAUAAUUUAAGUCAGUUGUGAAAGCCCUGGGCUCAANCCUAGGAACUGCAUCUGAUAGCUGAUUGUCUAGAGUUUAAGAGAGGGAAGUGGAAUUCCAGGUGUAGCAGUGAAAUGCGUAGAUAUCUGGAGGAACAUCAGUGGCGAAGGCGACUUCCUGGCUUAAAACUGACGCUGAGGUGCGAAAGCGUGGGUAGCGAACGGGAUUAGAUACCCCGGUAGUCCACGCCGUAAACGAUGUCAACUAGUUGUUGGUCUUAUUAAAAAGAUUAGUAACGAAGCUAACGCGAUAAGUUGACCGCCUGGGGAGUACGGUCGCAAGAUUAAAACUCAAAGGAAUUGAC